AACCUUCCACAAUGGGCGAAAGCCUGAUGGAGCAACGCCGCGUGAGGGAAGAAGGUUUUCGGAUCGUAAAACUCGGUUGUAAGGGAAGAACAAGUACAGUAGUAACUGGCUGUACCUUGACGGUACCUUAUGAGAAAGCCACGGCUAACUACGUCCCAUCAACCGCGGUAAUACGUAGGUGGCAAGCGUUGUCCGGAAUUAUUGGGCGUAAAGCGCGCGCAGGCGGUCCUUUAAGGCUGAUGUGAAAGCCCACGGCUCAACCGUGGAGGGUCAUUGGAAACUGGGGGACUUGAGUGCAGAAGAGGAAAGUGGAAUUCCAAGUGUAGCGGUGAAAUGCGUAGAGAUUUGGAGGAAUACCAGUGGCGAAGGCGACUUUCUGGUCUGUAACUGACGCUGAGGCGCGAAAGCGUGGGGAGCAAACA
RNAcentral lists this ribosomal RNA (422 nucleotides) under uncultured bacterium. RNAcentral describes it as "partial 16S ribosomal RNA". It matches the Rfam family "Bacterial small subunit ribosomal RNA", at positions 360 to 774 of the family's 1533-position model. The record is from RNAcentral.